This 452-nucleotide long non-coding RNA is filed under the name Heterocephalus glaber (naked mole-rat). RNAcentral's name for it is "lncRNA (ENSHGLG00100049745.1)". Lineage: Eukaryota; Metazoa; Chordata; Mammalia; Rodentia; Bathyergidae. The record is from RNAcentral.
AAGAGAGUGAAGUGCACAAAGUGCUUAGAUGAGGAGGGGUGCAUAGUAGAUUCUCAGUAAUUUGUCUUCUAUCAUCUCCAUCCUUACCACUACCCUAGGUAGCAGAGGUCAUUGUAACAGUCAGUUUACAAAUGUGGAAACCAAGACACGCCAAAGUUAAACACUUCCAUGUCCACACAGAGUUUACAGGCUCAAAGGCAACAAGGCCAAGUGACCAUGGACUGAUACUUCUGAAACUGUCAUAUGUGGAGGUUCUAAUCCCCACUGGGAUGGUGUUUGGAGAUGAUUAGGAUUAGAAGAAGGCCUGGUGAGGAUACUAGUAAGAAGAGACAUGAGAGACUUGCUCUCUCUCUGCCACAUAUGGACAUGGCAAGAAAGUGCUAGCUGCAAGCCAGGAAGAGAACACCCACCAAACCGGACCAUGCUGGCAUCCUAACCUCAUUCUUCCAGCC